This 484-nucleotide ribosomal RNA is filed under the name uncultured bacterium. RNAcentral describes it as "partial 16S ribosomal RNA". It matches the Rfam family "Bacterial small subunit ribosomal RNA", at positions 30 to 507 of the family's 1533-position model. The record is from RNAcentral.
AUUGAACGCUGGCGGCAGGCCUAACACAUGCAAGUCGAGCGGAUGAAGGGAGCUUGCUCCUGGAUUCAGCGGCGGACGGGUGAGUAAUGCCUAGGAAUCUGCCUGGUAGCGGGGGAUAACGUCCGGAAACGGGCGCUAAUACCGCAUACGUCCUGAGGGAGAAAGUGGGGGAUCUUCGGACCUCACGCUAUCAGAUGAGCCUAGGUCGGAUUAGCUAGUUGGUGGGGUAAAGGCCUACCAAGGCGACGAUCCGUAACUGGUCUGAGAGGAUGAUCAGUCACACUGGAACUGAGGCACGGUCCAGACUCCUACGGGAGGCAGCAGUGGGGAAUAUUGGACAAUGGGCGAAAGCCUGAUCCAGCCAUGCCGCGUGUGUGAAGAAGGUCUUCGGAUUGUAAAGCACUUUAAGUUGGGAGGAAGGGCAGUAAGUUAAUACCUUGCUGUUUUGACGUUACCAACAGAAUAAGCACCGGCUAACUUCGUG